RNAcentral lists this long non-coding RNA (1203 nucleotides) under Bos indicus x Bos taurus (hybrid cattle). Its description in RNAcentral is "lncRNA (ENSBIXG00005001304.1)". Lineage: Eukaryota; Metazoa; Chordata; Mammalia; Artiodactyla; Bovidae. The record is from RNAcentral.
GUCAUGGGUCCGGGAGACCCUCAGGGGGUCACUGCAGGUCGGGCCACAAGGCAGCGUCUGUGGCUCCUCCUCCCAGACCUAAAAAUGGCGAGGUCCUGCUGUCCACCUGAACGGACCACGGCGGCGUGGGCGAGACGAGGCCAGGACGCCUCACCUGAGAACACGCCACCAGGCCCCUCCUGACCUCGCUGAGAUGGAGGAAGGCGGCCAGAAGAGCGGGUCCCAGGAGCCAGGCUGGCAAGAGCUGGGGAGUGUCUUUCCGUAACUGGAAGACUGAUGAGCUGUGAGGAAUACCACGCAGCUACAUGCACGGCUCCCGUGACGGCAGACUCACACAGAGAGAGGACCCCGCGUGCCCGCUGAUGGGAACCCUUCCGUAACAGAGAGACCAGAAGGCCGGGGGCUGCCGUCAGGGGCUGUCAGCUCCACAGUAAAGCACACUUGACCUUCUCCAGGUUUUGCAGGAAUUCUCCUUUUUGGUGGGUGCGUGCAUGCUCAGUCACUCAGUUAAACUGACUCUUUGUGGCUCCAUGGACUGUAUGUAGCCUGCUAGGCUCCUCCAUCCAUGGAAUUUCCCAAGAAGAAUACUGGAGAGGGGUGCCAUUUCCUACUGCAUGGGAUCUUCCCGACCCAAGGGUUGAACCCGGGUCUCUUGUGUCUCUUGCAUUGGUAGGUGGUUCUUUAACACUCCGCUACCCGAGAAGCCCAAACGACAAACAGAUCAUUUUGUUUUUUCGGUCAUGCCUUGCAGCACAUAGGCUCUUAAUUCCCUGACUCGGGAUCGAAUCCUUGCCCCUUGCAUUGGAAGCCUGAAGUCUUAACCGCUGGACUUUUGUGUGUAAUUCUGUAGUAUUUCAUCACAUGGACAGAUUCAUGUCAGCACGACCCUAAUCAAGAUACACAUAACAAAGUGCACAGCUCAUCUUUUAGGGGGUUGUGCCCACGUUUCCCAACUAGGAAGACAUCAAGGAAAACAAACCUCAGAGUAAAGCAUGGAUCUGACCUUCGUGGAACCAGAAGGGGCUGGAGCCCGUUUCUGAGCAACAGCGAGCAGGUGGCUGGGAGGGGCAAGUAGGCAGGCGGGAGAAAGAGGAGGCAUGGACCUUCUUCCACCUCAUUGUUUACCUUGAAAUCAGCACAUUUCCUUACUUAAAAAUACUGAAACCCAGGAACUAUAUUCAAUACCUUGGAACAACCUAUAAU